ACAUAUGGCCAUACUAUCCUGAAUAUGCCCAACCUCCUCUGAUAUCAGAAGCUAAGCAGGGUCAGGCCUGGUUAGUAGUUGGACAGGAGAAAAUGUAACCCUAAAUG
This is a ribosomal RNA of Cercocebus atys (sooty mangabey), 107 nucleotides long. The record is from Ensembl. NCBI's taxonomy places the organism in Eukaryota, Metazoa, Chordata, Mammalia, Primates, Cercopithecidae.